AAAAAAAAUUAAGGCAACCUGAAGCAAACCUCGAAGCCUAUUCUUCUCAAAACCCUCAAGCUUUUCUCUCUCGCUCAGAACCCUAUUUUAUCUUUCUCUGGAGCUCUUGCCAUUUCACAUCUCUCUCGAGCCCUCUUCGCUCACGCUGUCCCUCUCUCGAGUCCUCUUUACUGUCACUGUCCCUCUCUCGAACCCUUGCUUCUUCCCCUCUCUCUCGAACUGUCGUCGCAUAACAACGUAGCAAUCUCGUUGUCCUUCAUUAACGAAGCAAUCACCUUCAUCGUUCGUUUUGGAGCCGUAGUUCGACGCUGAGAGAGUACCUUCAUCAACCCUAGGUUCGUGAAAAUAUUCCAGGAGCGGGAAGGAUUCAGAGAGGAGUGAAAAAUAGGAAAAUUGUUCGGUGAGAAAUGGGAAUUAGGUCGCGUGUUCGGUGGGAAAGGAAGAUUCAACGGCUGAAUCAGUGAAACGUGGUAAAAUGAGAAUGUAAUCGCUGGAUUCGAUGGAGAAGGCUGUAGCGAUUUAUCAGAAAAUAUUCCGAAAUUUAUGUUCUUUCACUUCUCUUCGACAUUUAUGUAAAUGUUUUUGUGCAGGUUCAAGAAGUGUACGAAAUUUCAGCUGAGUAUGAAGGAAAGUGUGACCCUAAGAAACUGGAAGAACUUUGAAAUAUGAUAACUAUUUUGGAUGCAGGGGACUAUAUUAUUGUUGCCCAGUCCUUUUCCCACAUGCUUAACUUGGCCAAGUUGGUCGAGGAGGUCCAGAUUUGUCGCCGCCGAAGGAACAAGGUGAAGAAAGGAGAUUUUGCAUAUGAGAACAAUGCAACUACAGAAUUAGCGUUAACUUUCUUACUCUCUAUACCUUUAUUAUUCUCAGUAUUGUUUCGUUAUUUGGUUUUGAUAUAUUUAUAUGCACCCUGAUUUCUGUUUCAAGAUAAGCAUCUAAAUUAUCUAUUAUAUAUUUAGUGAGUAUGCUUUCUUGUCUCAAUUUUUGCAAGGGAAUUAACUACUUUUUGGUUUGCGCUGAAGAAUUUUUCAUUGCCCAGGAGGAAAUGAGAGUUGUGUUUUUCUAAUUAUUUUUGGUUACAUGUGUUGAUUUACCGAGUUAUAUUGAGUCAAAGUUGCUUAAUUGAUUUCAAUAUUUGUUUGUUGCCAUAUUCUGUGGGUAGGCGGUAAUGCAGAUUAUGCUAUGGAUAUGCAUCAGAAAGAACAACUUCAUGACAAUGUUGUACCAAUGAUGCAAUUGCAACAUUUCUCUAUUACUUUGGUUUCAAAGUUAGAUCUUUGCAGGCACUAGGGUUUGUUUUAAUUGCUAGGCUAGAAUUUUGAGGAAACAUUAUUCUCUGCUGCUGAUACUCGCCUUAAGAUUCAAGGAUUACAAAACAUGUACGAGUAUCUUCUGGAUGCUGAAAGCCAAAUGGGAACUGAUAAAGAUGAUGAUAACGUUGAUGGUUACACAGUAAGAGCUGGAAAGAGUGUACCUGUUGCUGUUGGUGCCGGUGAUACAAACAUAUGUGGGGGUAUAGUUCAGUUAUAUUGGGAUAAUAUUUUGGGCAAAUGUUUGGAUUUCAAUGAACAAGUUCUUCAAUCAGCCCUGAAGGUCAGAUCCAGCUUCUAUAUCGGUUUAGAUUCAACACUCUUAAUCUAAAUGUUAUCAAAAAUUAAAUCUCUUCUUUGGAAACAGUUAAUAAACAUAUGCAUGUGCAUGUAUUGUAUUUACUACUGUUUAAAUUCUUCCAAAUCUUUUGGAUUAAUGUAGUGAGGUAAAGGAUAUGAGUAAAUUAGGUAGAUGCUUUUCAGAGGAGUUUAAAAGUGAAUCUUGCAAGUGCUAGUUAUCAGUCUCUAGGACUAUGGUCUAAAUUAUCUAUCGUUUUGAAGCUUAUUUUCUUUAGAAGAUUAAGUGCCUCUUUUUAUUAGCAUAGUCUGGCUUUGCGAAGGGAUAUCAAUGACUUCCAAUGAACAUUCUCUGAAAGCAAUUGUCGUGGUCCAAGUUUCAUUUGAAUAUGUUGCAAUGCUAAAACAAUCAGGACUGAAGCAUUCUUGUUAAAAUGGUCUAGUUUUCUUUUACUCUUACUUAUAAAAUAAUUAAUUUGUUAAUAAUGCAGAUUGUUGAA
This is a long non-coding RNA of Vigna radiata var. radiata (mung bean), 2107 nucleotides long. RefSeq lists it as uncharacterized. The record is from RefSeq and is a predicted model, not a curated record. Lineage: Eukaryota; Viridiplantae; Streptophyta; Magnoliopsida; Fabales; Fabaceae. The transcript has 4 exons.